UGAAAUCAGUGGGAAUCAUUUUAUUCAUAAAACUAUAUGUAUUGUCGCAAUUUGAUAAAAGCGUUAUUCAUUUAUUUGAUUUUAAUUAAUAUUUAUUAUUUAUAUCUGAAAUCUCAUUCGGAAUUGUACAAAUUGUAAUAAUCAACUUACAUGCUCCGGUCGGAUCAGACGUAUUAUUUCGCAGUUAAUUUAAAAGAAUUUUAAUUGAAUCGGCAACCUAGAAACACACGCCGUAGACGGGAAUUCGAUAAAAUUUGUUGCAACGACACACUGUGUGCUAGCGAACAAUACAAUCUCACAGAUUCUUCGUAGCCCCUUUUCUUUGGUCUCGAAUUGAUACUGAAGAAAAAAUUCGUACCUAUGGAAUUGUCCCGUAACUAUUUCCAAAAAGUACCAAUGGUACAAAUGUAUUUAUUGUAUUUCAUAUUUAUUGUUAAGGACUAGAAUACUCUUGGAACGGUGAAAACAUGUAGUUUAUAGAGUAGAUCCUAAAACGUUCAAGACCAUAUCGAAUCGAAUCGAAUUCUUUUCAAUCUUAUUUAACGUUAAAGGAGUUUAGGGUAACCUUCGAACUUGAAAUAUAUCGCGCGCGGUAGACAAUUUCUCUCGUUAAAGACACACACGUUAGACGCGGUCAAGUAAAUUUGAUUCGACACGAUCUUGAACCGUUCAAGUACAUUGCGAUGUAUUCCGAUAAGUAUCUCGUGCGUCCAUCCGGUAAAUUAUCUCAGCUAUGUUGCACCCUCUGUGGACCAUUUUUGUAGUAUAAUAAACAUAAACUGUGUAAUUAUCUAUGGUAGGUUUAAAAACAUUCAUAAACAUAACCAUUGUCUUCCUAAAAUAUUGAAAAUGCAUCGAAAGAACUUGUUACAAAGGAGGUGUCUCCGGAUUGGGAAAACAUAAUAUUAGAAUGUUCGUAUUCGAAAUUGUCAGAUAAUUAUGUCACGGUUAAAUGUAAAUUUUGUGCAUUUGGUUGAUAGGUGCAAAAAAUGGAUCCGGUGUUGUAAAAAUGGUAUUAUUAUAUAAAGAAAUGUAUUAUUGUAUAACGGAUGAAACGUAAAAAUUGAUCAUACGAUGAUAUUUUAGAUUGUGGUAAUUUGAGACUUGAAUCGCUAUAUAUUUUUUUAUCUCUGAUUCUAAGUAUUAUUAGGUUCAGAUUACGAGUUCAGCCGACUGCUGUGCAACAAAUUUGGCUAAUGCAAUGGUUCGAAUGUCUUAAAGAUAAGUAUUACAGUUAAGGGAACGCAUAGCUCUCGAUAAAUAAGUAACAAAUAAUGUAGACGAUAUAACUUACGUAUGUCGGCCAUGAUGACAUAAACCACUUAUAUAGGAGAUUAUAUAUAUAUAUAUAUAUAUAUAUUAUUUGUAAUUUUAUUCUUUUAUAUAUUAAAUAUUAUGAAGGAAAAGGGGUUACGACGUUCAGUUAAGAAAGUUAAAAGCGGCAGAUAAAAGUUGAAUAAAUUUUUGUAAUUCCUUUUUAUUCAAAUAUUAACACCGUUUACCCGUUAAUCGUAUCGUGUCGAGGAAUAAUUGUAUCGAUCUUUCGAAUCUUUUCGUUUCCAACGACUCGACGAACAUCUUCAGGAGUGUUAGUUUCAUCUCAACAUCUUUCUGUACACAUAAUUCCGAAAGCUUUUAGCCGUUACAAAUAUUCGAGAUGAACACACAUUUUUACCUUUCAUGUUCGGUUAUUCUUGUAAAUUUUGCCGUUGCAUUUAAUUCUGAUUGUUUCAACAUACUUCGACGAAGGUACUAAUCUCUAUUAUACAUCUAUGUUUAGUUGUAUUAUUUUCUUUUAUACUACAUGACAACUGACGAGGUACUCGAUUUAACCGUCCAUGAGAAGUAUCAGAAUUUCAUGAACUGAAAUGCUCGACGUUGAGACACGGUAAAUAUAGUGAUUAUAAUUUGUAAAUAAAGGAACAUCUUUCCAAUUAAAUGUUAGUUUUGCGUUUCUGUUUCAUUUAUAUCGACAAACACUACCGAUGUACAUACGUACAUGCAUUCAUACAUACAUACGUACGUACGUACAUGCAUUAAGCGGUCAUAUUUUUUUUAUACCGAAAAAGAGCCGAAGCAGACGUAUCUUGCGUCGCCUGUAAACAUCUGAAAAUACAACGUGGGACAGUGACACGAUAGUUUGCAUAGUUUAUUCGAGUUUAGAAGCUUUUUUUCGAGUAGACAGUGAAACUGGAAAAUGAUACGUGUUUUCACUUGAACGACCGUGCGAGUGUGUUGUGCUUUGAUUUGAAAUUAUACUCGAUCGAUUCCAUAGAUAUUAUUUUCUAUAGAAGAAACAAACACAUUUCUAAUGUUUACGGUAUAAUUCCAAUUGACUCGACGCCCUGUUACGAUACACACACACACACACACACACACACACGCGCACACGUAUUCGGGAAUAUUUCAAUAAAUUUCGAGUCGAUGAGAUUUUGAAUGCCUACGAAUUGUAAUCUUCAAGAUCUGUAUACAUAUGUAUGUAUAUGAGUAUACGUUUGUACGUUGUAUACCUCUGAGUGUGUAUGCGAGCAUGUAGGUACCUGCGUUCACGUAACGCACGUACACAAGUAUAAAUAAAUGUGUAUAUGUUUUCAAUCUAACGGAAUCGGGAUAUAAUAUAUGUAAGAUAUAUUUAUUAAUUUACCUAAUAUAUAAUACAUAUAUUAUCGAUACUGUGCGUACAGGACGUUUCGUAACUGGCGGAUCAAACGCGAGAAAUAGGGGAUUUCCUUUCGAAUACUAUGUUUUCUAUAGAACACAGAGUACGUUGUAGACGAGUACACAUCUCGAGACGCAACAAAGUUUCGAAAAGUAUCGAAUUUACAAAUGGGGGAUCGAUUACGAUGAACAACGUUGACUGAUCGACGAUGUGACAACGUAGAAACACUCGACGUGCGCGAGUGUACUCGUGUACCGAUUAUUAUUGUCGCGAAGCUAACAGAUCCAGCCGUAUCGAGGAAACGUUCUGGAAAGAUGGAAGAGAACUGGGAAUUAGAAACACUUUCUAUGCACGAUGGACGGGCCCGAUUCGUCGUACUCUUGCUUCGAGAUCCACAUUUGCUGGAAGGUGCUCAAACUGGCCAAGAUCGAGCCACCGAUCCAGACCGAAUACUUCCUUUCCGGGGGCGCGAUUAUCUUAAUCUUCAUCGUGGACGGCGCCAAUGCCGUUAUUUCCUUUUGCAUCCUGUCCGCUAUACCUGGAUACAUAGUGGUGCCGCCUGACAGCACCGAGUUCGCGUACAGAUCUUUACGUAUAUCGACGUCGCAUUUCAUGAUCGAAUUGUACGUUGUCUCGUGUAUUCCACAGGACUCCAUGCCCAAGAAGCUCGGCUGGAACAUCGCUUCUGGACACCGGAAACGUUCGUUACCGAUCGUGAUCACCUAAAAUAAAAUCCAAUUAUUUUCAACGCCUCGCGAACGGAACCUCGAACUUUUUCGAAUGUUCUGCCUACUGAUACUCGUGUAUCGCGUUAGAAUGUCGUUAAUUCGUGUCGGAAUAUUCCGAGAUUUCAUUGGUUCGUCGCUAGAAGAAAAUCGAAUAUCGAUUCGACUCUCGUACCUGACCGUCCGGUAAUUCGUAGCUCUUCUCUAGAGCGCUCGAGCCAGCAGCCGUGGCCAUUUCUUGCUGAAAAUCUAAGGCCACGUAACAUAAUUUUUCUUUAAUGUCUCGGACGAUUUCACGCUCCGCUGUCGUUGUGAAAGAAUACCCUCUUUCGGUUAAAAUCUUCAUCAGGUAAUCCGUUAAAUCGCGACCAGCCAAGUCCAUGCGUAAAAUCGCAUGCGGCAACGCGUACCCUAAAUUUGGUAAAAACAUUUCAGUGAUAUAUGUAUCUCUUUCCUUUGAAACGGUUCGAUGUCAUAUGUCAAUUGUGUUUCUCGAUUGCGAACGGCGUAUUUUUCAACUUGCCGCCUUGUGCGCUUACGACGAAAUCUUUUAAAACUGGGACGAAUCGAAAAAUCUUUUCGACGACGAUCACAGAGAAAUCUUCUCGCGUUCGUGCCGUUCGUAUCGCAUAAUAUGGGAAGAAAUUUUGAAAUAAAGUUGCAUCGUUGAAACGAAAGAGACGAAUGAAUGUUAAGAAAUGUGUUCGAUAAGACAGCGUACCCUCGUAAAUCGGCACUGUAUGCGAAACUCCAUCGCCGCUAUCUAACACAAUGCCGGUCGUGCGUCCUGAAGCGUAAAGCGACAAAACCGCUUGUAUAGCAACGUACAUGGCUGGAGAAUUAAACGUUUCGAACAUGAUUUGUGUCAUCUUUUCUCGAUUAGCUUUGGGAUUCAACGGGGCCUCCGUCAAAAGAACAGGAUGUUCUUCGGGAGCGAUUCUUAGUUCGUUGUAAAACGUGUGGUGCCAUAUUUUUUCCAUAUCAUCCCAAUUCGUUACAAUACCAUGUUCGAUCGGAUACUUUACUGUUAAAACGCCGCGUUUACUUUGAGCUUCGUCUCCCACAUAACUGUCCUUUUGUCCCAUACCAACCAUGAUACCCUGUGCAAUUUUUUUAUAUGUAACUAUGUACGUACACGUAUAUUAAUAGAAACAUUUAUAUAUAUAUAUACGAUUUAUGCGUAUACAUUGUGCACACAUUACAUUUAUAUCACAAAUUUUAAAGCAGAUUUUUGUUUACCUGGUAUCGUGGUCUUCCAACAAUGGAAGGAAACACUGCACGUGGAGCAUCGUCCCCUGCGAAUCCUGCUUUGCACAUUCC
Non-coding RNA from Nomia melanderi (Alkali bee), 4704 nucleotides. The record is from RefSeq and is a predicted model, not a curated record. NCBI's taxonomy places the organism in Eukaryota, Metazoa, Arthropoda, Insecta, Hymenoptera, Halictidae.